This 791-nucleotide ribosomal RNA is filed under the name uncultured bacterium. RNAcentral describes it as "bacterial SSU rRNA". It matches the Rfam family "Bacterial small subunit ribosomal RNA", at positions 9 to 791 of the family's 1533-position model. The record is from RNAcentral.
GAGUUUGAUCCUGGCUCAGAUUGAACGCUGGCGGAAUGCUUUACACAUGCAAGUCGAACGGCAGCACGGGAGCUUGCUCCUGGUGGCGAGUGGCGAACGGGUGAGUAAUACAUCGGAACAUGCCUAGUCGUGGGGGAUACCGUAGCGAAAGUUACGUUAAUACCGCAUACGUCCUGAGGGAGAAAGCAGGGGAUUCGCAAGAACCUUGCGCGAUUAGAGUGGCCGAUGCCUGAUUAGCUAGUUGGUGAGGUAAUGGCUCACCAAGGCGACGAUCAGUAGCGGGUCUGAGAGGAUGAUCCGCCACACUGGAACUGAGACACGGUCCAGACUCCUACGGGAGGCAGCAGUGGGGAAUUUUGGACAAUGGGGGCAACCCUGAUCCAGCCAUUCCGCGUGAGUGAAGAAGGCCUUCGGGUUGUAAAGCUCUUUCAGCGGGAACGAAACGGUGCGCUCUAACAUAGCGUAUUAAUGACGGUACCCGCAGAAGAAGCACCGGCUAACUACGUGCCAGCAGCCGCGGUAAUACGUAGGGUGCGAGCGUUAAUCGGAAUUACUGGGCGUAAAGCGUGCGCAGGCGGCUUUUUAAGCCAGACGUGAAAUCCCCGGGCUUAACCUGGGAAUGGCGUUUGGAACUGGAAGGCUAGAGUGUGUCAGAGGGGGGUAGAAUUCCACGUGUAGCAGUGAAAUGCGUAGAGAUGUGGAGGAAUACCGAUGGCGAAGGCAGCCCCCUGGGAUAACACUGACGCUCAUGUACGAAAGCGUGGGUAGCAAACAGGAUUAGAUACCCUGGU